UUUGAGACGGCAAAGAGAAAGUGUAAAAGUCGGAGAGAUCGUGAAAAUUGGGCCACAUCAAAUCACUAAGAGCCCAUAUUAUUUCGCAUGAUUAUAUUGUUGAUAGCAUGGCAGAUUAGUGCAUUUUAAUUGGACGAUUAAAAAAUCUGACAUGGCACUCUCUCCAUUGAGAAUAUCUUCCUUUUAGUAUAGGAUAGAUUCUCAUGAAAAAAAUCGAUAGGUUAAACAAAUGUUUCAAAAUUUGUUGUGUUAUUGUUUUGUCUAUAAAUUACAAAAUUUAUUGAAUUAAU
This 290-nucleotide long non-coding RNA is filed under the name Brassica rapa (field mustard). RNAcentral's name for it is "long non-coding RNA (BRAP_LNC003110)". Lineage: Eukaryota; Viridiplantae; Streptophyta; Magnoliopsida; Brassicales; Brassicaceae. The record is from RNAcentral.